GAUGAACGCUGGCGGCGUGCUUAACACAUGCAAGUCGAACGAUGAAGCCCAGCUUGCUGGGUGGAUUAGUGGCGAACGGGUGAGUAACACGUGAGUAACCUGCCCUUAACUCUGGGAUAAGCCUGGGAAACUGGGUCUAAUACCGGAUAGGAUCGUCCACCGCAUGGUGGGUGUUGGAAAGAUUUAUCGGUUUUGGAUGGACUCGCGGCCUAUCAGCUUGUUGGUGAGGUAAUGGCUCACCAAGGCGACGACGGGUAGCCGGCCUGAGAGGGUGACCGGCCACACUGGGACUGGGAAACGGCCCAGACUCCUACGGGAGGCAGCAGUGGGGAAUAUUGCACAAUGGGCGCAAGCCUGAUGCAGCGACGCCGCGUGAGGGAUGACGGCCUUCGGGUUGUAAACCUCUUUCAGUAGGGAAGAAGCGAAAGUGACGGUACCUGAAGAAGAAGCACCGGCUAACUACGUG
Molecule: ribosomal RNA, 466 nt
Filed under: uncultured bacterium
Lineage: Bacteria
Description: partial 16S ribosomal RNA
Rfam family: Bacterial small subunit ribosomal RNA
Source: RNAcentral